Molecule: ribosomal RNA, 252 nt
Filed under: Triticum aestivum (bread wheat)
Lineage: Eukaryota; Viridiplantae; Streptophyta; Magnoliopsida; Poales; Poaceae
Description: partial small subunit ribosomal RNA
Source: RNAcentral
AUGAUCAGAUCAAAAGGGCAAGGUGGAAUGGGAUUCCGAGAUAUGCGCAUUUUUAAUCAGGCACUACUGGCUUGUCAAGCUUGGCGGUUGUUGCAAACACCGGAUAGUCUGUGUGCACGUGUACUGAAGGCCCGAUACUACCCAUAAGGAAGCCUACUAGACACUGUGUUUACAGGGCAACGCUUUUCAACUUGGUCUGCUAUCUUAUGGGCUGGAACUUCUCAAGGAAGGCAUGAUAUGGCGCACUGGUAA